Molecule: non-coding RNA, 78 nt
Filed under: unclassified sequences
Source: RNAcentral
GACUAUUUGCCGAAUCGGCGUCGUAUGGCGAUACUUUCCAGAUAAUCUAUAAAGAGCUGGAUAGGCGAUGGGUCGCAG